Molecule: non-coding RNA, 644 nt
Organism: Oryzias melastigma (Indian medaka)
Lineage: Eukaryota; Metazoa; Chordata; Actinopteri; Beloniformes; Adrianichthyidae
Source: the annotation of a RefSeq genome assembly
GAGCUUCACAGCAGAACAUGAAGCUUCAUGUUGGAGCUGAAGAGCUGCUGUGUUCUCUCUGUUCUUCAUUCAGUACCAGAGAAAAGAAUGUUGCUGCUUCUCAUCUGGAUGAUGAUGGUCUCCUUUCAAACUGGAUCCUCUGAGGAUUUACUGAAACCAUUGAAAGAUGAAGUGAUGGAUUUGGAAGGAGAAACUGUCACUCUGUCCUGCAAAUAUUCUGGUUCAAUCCAGCUUUUCUUCUGGUACCAACAAAUGUCCAGUCCAUCUCCACAGUUUCUGAUUAAAGAAUAUGAAGAUGAAAAAGGGAGGUUUUCAGUGAAACAUGACAAACACAACCAGGAGUUUCAUCUACAGAUCUCCUCUGCUGCAGUGACAGACUCUGCUGUGUACUACUGUGCUGUGACGCCCACAGUGACAGGAAACAACAAAACUCUGUACAAAAACCUGCAGAGAAAACACAUUUCUAAAUAAAAUCCACUAGAGGGCGACACACACUGUGAAAAUACUGAUGUGAUGUUUAUCAAACUGGUGGCUUUUUGGUCUGAAAACAAAGAAAACAGAAGUAAAGAUUAGAGACAAAGCAUCUGUAGAAGCACUGGACUCUUUGAUUGGUUGAGUUGAACUUAAAAAAAAGCUCAUUAGCC